CAGCAGCCGCGGGAAUACGUAGGUGGCAAGCGUUGUCCGGAAUUAUUGGGCGUAAAGGGCUCGCAGGCGGUUUCUUAAGUCUGAUGUGAAAGCCCCCGGCUCAACCGGGGAAGGUCAUUGGAAACUGGGAAACCUGAGUGCAGAAGAGGAGAGUGGAAUUCCACGUGUAGCGGUGAAAUGCGUAGAGAUGUGGGGGAACACCAGUGGCGAAGGCGACUCUCUGGUCUGUAACUGACGCUGAGGAGCGAAAGCGUGGGGAGCGAACAGGAUUAGAUACCCCUGUAGUCCCUGUCUCUUAUAC
Molecule: ribosomal RNA, 301 nt
Filed under: uncultured bacterium
Lineage: Bacteria
Description: partial 16S ribosomal RNA
Rfam family: Bacterial small subunit ribosomal RNA
Source: RNAcentral